RNAcentral lists this ribosomal RNA (347 nucleotides) under uncultured fungus. RNAcentral's name for it is "SSU rRNA". It matches the Rfam family "Eukaryotic small subunit ribosomal RNA", at positions 27 to 370 of the family's 1831-position model. Lineage: Eukaryota; Fungi. The record is from RNAcentral.
UGUGUAGUUAUAUCUUUCUCAAAGAUUAAGCCAUGCAUGUCUAAGUUCAAGCGAAAAUAAAGUGAAACCGCGAAUGGCUCAUUACAUCAGUUAUGGUUCCUUAGAUCGCACUUACUACUUGGAUAACUGUGGUAAUUCUAGAGCUAAUACAUGCGCUGAGCCCCAACCCUCGUGGAAGGGGCGCUUUUAUUAGAUCAAAGCCAAUCGAGUUUCGGCUCGUUUCGUUGGUGACUCAGAAUAACUUUGCUGAUCGCAUGGUCUCGUACCGGCGACGUAUCUUUCAAGUGUCUGCCAUAUCAACUUCGAUGUAGUAGGACCCACCAUGGUUGCAACGGGUAACGGGGAAU